GAUGAACGCUGGCGGCGUGCCUAAUACAUGCAAGUCGAGCGAACGGACGAGAAGCUUGCUUCUCUGAUGUUAGCGGCGGACGGGUGAGUAACACGUGGAUAACCUACCUAUAAGACUGGGAUAACUUCGGGAAACCGGAGCUAAUACCGAAUAAUAUUUUGAACCGCUUGGUUCAAAAGUGAAAGACGGUCUUGCAGUCACUUAUAGAUGGAUCCGCGCUGCAUUAGCUAGUUGGUAAGUUAACGGCUUACCAAGGCAACGAUGCAUAGCCGACCUGAGAGGGUGAACGCCCCCCCUGUCACUUAGCCACGCUCCAGACUCCUACGGGAGGCAGCGGCAGGGAAUCUUGCGCAAUGGGCGAAAGCCUGACGAAGCAACGGCGAGUGAAUCAUGAUGGUCUUCGGAUCGUAAAACUCUGUUAGUAGGGAAGAACAUAUGUGUACGUGACUGUGCACAUAUUGACGGUACCUAAUCAGAAAGCCACGGCUAACUACGUG
This 497-nucleotide ribosomal RNA is filed under the name uncultured bacterium. Its description in RNAcentral is "partial 16S ribosomal RNA". It matches the Rfam family "Bacterial small subunit ribosomal RNA", at positions 28 to 507 of the family's 1533-position model. The record is from RNAcentral.